RNAcentral lists this ribosomal RNA (401 nucleotides) under Acanthoscelides obvelatus. RNAcentral's name for it is "partial 12S small subunit ribosomal RNA". Lineage: Eukaryota; Metazoa; Arthropoda; Insecta; Coleoptera; Chrysomelidae. The record is from RNAcentral.
UAAACUAGGAUUAGAUACCCUAUUAUUAAAAAUGUAGAUUUAAAAAUGCUUAAUUAGUAUUAGUUAUGUUCUUGAAAAUUAAAAAAUUUGGCGGUAUUUUAGUCUUUUCAGAGGAACCUGUUCUAUAAUUGAUAGUCCACGAUUAGAUAAACUUUAUUUAAUAGUUUACAUAUCGUCGUAGUUAAAAUAUUUUAAUAGAAUUAUAAAUAUUUAAAUUUUUUUAUUGAAAAAUAAAUCAGAUCAAGGUGUAGUUUAUAAUAAAGAAGAAAUGGGUUACAAUAAAUUUAUUUAAGGAUAAUUUUUAUUAAAAGAAAUUUGAAUUUGGAUUUGAGAGUAAUUUUUUAGAUUUUUUUAAGAUGAUUUAAGCUCUAAAAUAUGCACACAUCGCCCGUCGCUCUUAA